This 656-nucleotide ribosomal RNA is filed under the name Edaphochlamys debaryana. RNAcentral describes it as "eukaryotic LSU rRNA". The stretch from base 231 to 384 matches the Rfam family "5.8S ribosomal RNA". Lineage: Eukaryota; Viridiplantae; Chlorophyta; Chlorophyceae; Chlamydomonadales. The record is from RNAcentral.
UGAAUNUAUCACAAUNCACNCCGCGAACCAUCAUUGUUGCCUUCUGAAGUGGGUCAAACCGCUUCAGAGCCGGGGGUCGUAAGCUGAAACAUGCUUGCGUGCCUCCGGGUCGUCUGGCAUGCGCUUGCCGCAUGCUUGGGCGUCGGUCUUAUACUAACCAACCAACACCAAACCAAAUCUAAUCUAUAAACCGAGUGCUUGGCUUAGAGCCAACGCUCACCAACCAAGACAACUCUCAACAACGGAUAUCUUGGCUCUCGGAUCGAUGAAGAACGCAGCGAAAUGCGAUACGUAGUGUGAAUUGCAGAAAUACGUGAAUCAUCGAAUCUUUGAACGCAAAUUGCGCUCGAGGCUUCGGCCAAGAGCAUGUCUGCCUCAGCGUCGGGUUAAUACUCGCUCCUAAUCCACCUUCGGGUUGAUUGGGAACGGAACUGGCUUUCCCGGCUUGGUUCAUUCUAAGCCGGGUCUGCUGAAGUGCAGAGGUUGAUGCAUGGACCCGCUAAAGGGCCUCUACUGGGUAGGCAAUUCAUUGCUAAUGCUUUAGUAGAUGGCUUGGGUAGAUGCCUGUCGACCCUAACCAGGAACUUGGAGCCUUGCGCUCUAAGCAACCCCCUUAUUUUCUCNACCUGANCUCAGGCAANAACACCCGCUGANCU